RNAcentral lists this ribosomal RNA (448 nucleotides) under uncultured bacterium. RNAcentral's name for it is "bacterial SSU rRNA". It matches the Rfam family "Bacterial small subunit ribosomal RNA", at positions 30 to 476 of the family's 1533-position model. The record is from RNAcentral.
AUUGAACGCUGGCGGCAUGCUUUACACAUGCAAGUCGAACGGCAGCACGGGUGCUUGCACCUGGUGGCGAGUGGCGGACGGGUGAGUAAUGCAUCGGAACGUGUCCUAAAGUGGGGGAUAACGCAUCGAAAGAUGUGCUAAUACCGCAUAUUCUCUGAGGAGAAAAGUAGGGGAUCGAAAGACCUUAUGCUUUUGGAGCGGCCGAUGUCUGAUUAGCUAGUUGGUAAGGUAAUGGCUUACCAAGGCGACGAUCAGUAGUUGGUCUGAGAGGACGGCCAGCCACACUGGGACUGAGACACGGCCCAGACUCCUACGGGAGGCAGCAGUGGGGAAUUUUGGGACAAUGGGCGCAAGCCUGAUCCAGCAAUGCCGCGUGAGUGAAGAAGGCCUCGGGUUGUAAGCGUCUUUCAGUUGAAAGAAAAGGUUAGUAGACUAAUAAUACAUAACU